This 2158-nucleotide long non-coding RNA is filed under the name Eucalyptus grandis. Its description in RNAcentral is "long non-coding RNA (EGRA_LNC007943)". The record is from RNAcentral. Lineage: Eukaryota; Viridiplantae; Streptophyta; Magnoliopsida; Myrtales; Myrtaceae.
AAUGCGCAAGCGGAACGUAUUAUAAAACCCCUGACAAUAAAACACGGGAUAGAAAAGCAAGAAGCAAAACCACAACAUAACACUUCCCUAAUUCAACAGAAUUACAAACAGAGGUCUACGGCCAAAAGUCUACAAAAGACCGGCUCUUAAAAAUGAAUUGUCCUACGACCUACAAGUCGGACACGUUCUCCAAUCUUAUGACUUCACCUCUGCAACUCCUCAAGGCCAACCAAAGCUAUCUGGUCGCUCCGUCCACCAGGGACCUGAAAUUUUAAUCCCACAACCGGGAUGAGACGAUGUCUCAGCAAGUUCAACCCCCUAAACCCCUAUUAGAAUGAAAAUACGCCUCGGUGGCCUAGCCACAUCACACAGAGGACUUACCUCGCCUCAGCCUUCAUCUGCAGGUUAGCACAAUUUAUAUAAAUCAACCACGUACAAUUAUGAUAACCAAACAAUCAUGGCACAAUCACAUUAUCAAACAAUUCAACCACUUGGAUCAUUUCAGCGAUCAAUCGACUUGGCCGAUUACAUGUCAUUCUAGCAAAUCAAUCAUUGCUCUCAAUCACGGCCCUAUAAGAAGGUUUAACAAACAGUGGCAAUCACGGCCCCACUCGGCACGACCUCUCCUAGGUGGUACAUCACGGCCCUAUUAGGCACGACCUCUCAUAUGUGGUCAAUCACGGCCUCACUGGGCACGACCUCUCAUAGGUGGUACAUCACGGCCUCACUGAGCACGACCUCUCAUAGGUGGUUCAUCACGGCCUCACUGGGCACGACCUCUCCUAGGUGGUACAUCACGGCCUCACUGGGCACGACUUUUCUUAGGUGGUACAUCACGGCCUCACUAGGCACGACCUUUCCUAGGUGGUACAUCACAGCCAAUCUCCCAUCAAUUUCUACACUUAGGAUUUAUAAAGCAUCCAUAUUUAUCACAAUAACACUCCAUUUGCCACAAUCAAUCAUCAAAUUCUAAUUCUAAAUACACAGCAACGAUCGGCACGAAAUUCUGAGAGAAUAAGGUUCCAACGAAAUUUUCGGAAUUUAAUAAAUAAUUAAAUUUAAUCCGAAAAUAAUUAAAUAAUAAUAUUCAUAUUUUUCACAAUCCACACUCGAUUUAUAAUAUCCAAUCAUCAAUUUCAAAAUCCGAAUACACAGCAACAAUCGGCACGAAAUUCUGAACAACCGGGAUCAAAAAUAAUUUUUCCGUUUUUUUUUUAUAAUAAUAUUUUAAUAAUUUCGGAAUUAAUAUAAUAUUAUAAAUUUCCAGAAUUUCGAAGCAAUUAAAUAAUUCAAAAUUAAAACCCUAUUAUGUCACAUCAAGGCUUUAUAUUAAAAAUAAACACAUUUAACUUUAAACUAAACACACUUUAACUUAAUUAAACAUCUUAAUAUAAUCAUCAACCAAAUAAACUAAUCUAACCACCUAAACUUACUUAACUUAGACUAAGCACACUUAAGGCAUCAUUAACCGUCUAAUCAAGGUUUAGUGAGUUAAACUCACCGGAUUAGCGAGCCGAGCGGACCAAAACGACGGGGACGACGAGGGGACCGACUUUCCUCAAAGCGGGCCGAGCAUCCGGGCUCGGGAAGCCGGCCAAAACGGGCCAAACAUGGGCUGCCAUACCCAUUUUUCCAAUCACUGAUUUGGGGCCGGAGGAGGCGGAUCCGGCGCCGGUUCGGGCGGAGGAACGGCGGAGGAGGACCGGCGGGGCUUGGACGGGCGAGGCGGCGGCCAGGCGAGGCCUCACGGUGGUCGGAGGGAGCUCCGUCAGCUCCUGAAAUACGCGAGCAGGGGCAGACGGAGGCGGCGGUCCAGGCGAGGCGCGUGCGGGGCGACGCACGGGCGCGCGGGUGCGGGACGACACGGGCGGCGGCGAGCUCCGGCGACGGGCGGCGGCGUCGAGCUCGGCUGGUCCCGGUCAGCUGCUGCAAGAGAUCUCAGAUCUGCUGGGGAAACGGGCUAAGGCGGAGUGGCGACCUAGACGGCGAGCGAGCGGACGGCGGCACAAACGGCGGCGACGAGCGGCGGAGGGGGCGGCGAAGGACUACUCCGGCUUCUCCUCUGCAAUUGUUUUUCUGGUCUUCGCACAAUGAAGAUGGAGGAGAAACCAACGGAAAUGGAGAGGAAGAAGAGAGAAGAAGGAGAGAGAGAGAUGGG